This is a long non-coding RNA of Bacillus rossius redtenbacheri, 2698 nucleotides long. RefSeq lists it as uncharacterized. The record is from RefSeq and is a predicted model, not a curated record. Lineage: Eukaryota; Metazoa; Arthropoda; Insecta; Phasmatodea; Bacillidae. The transcript is spliced from 2 exons.
CGCGAGGAAUACCAACUGUUCAUUGAUCCUCAUUCAACAUACGAAAAAUCUGCGUCGGUGCAACUUUUUUUUUGGUGCUGUUGUAAACGUGAAAAGUUGGUUAGCCACUGGCCCACUAACCUGGAGGAGAAGAGGAUUUAGCCGGCGUCUCUCUCCGCGCGCCGACCGCUGCCACUGUUCGCCCCGCUGACGGGCGUUCGGCUUACUACUGCCUCGUCGCAGCGCCUCUUUCCCCUUCCCCUCCUGCCGCUACCCCCUCCACCGGGCAACACCCCUCGUGGAACUUCCUUGUGCGUAACCGCCGCGCCGGGCGGACAGGACAGCAACGGGAAGCCUACAACUCACGUAGUUUCGGUUCCCUACCACGUUCGUGCAACUUCGGAUUUCUCUCAAAAAUUGAAAUUUAAAAAAAAAAUCGAAGGGUUAGGUUAGGUUAUGUUAGGUCAGUCACAACAUGCUUGUUUUCGUUGGAAACUUCUGAUUUAGCGGCUGAAGUGGCGUUAGUACCAAAAAGGCAAAACUUCGGAAAUGUUCGGAAAUUUUUGCAGGGAACCGAAACUACGUGAGUUGUAGGCUUUUCCCGACAGCAACACCUGCCUUGUUUACAAGCGCGGGCGGCCGACGCUCGUGACGUCACGACGACGCGCAGUUCGGGCGAGGCGGAGAAGAAGAAAAAAUAUAUUCAUACACAUCUGUGCGACGGAGGCAUAAGACACCAUGUCACAUAAACCAUGUGUUUUUUUCCCCCCAUGAGAGUAGUUCAAAGAAUCUAUAUAAGUAAAAAAUGUAAACGUUCGUUCGUUCGUUCAAAAUCUUAAAAAUCUCCGAAAGUUCUUCAUCGUUUGCUUUGAAAUUUUGGCACAACGUUACAUUCGAAUACGCGCGUGUCUUACAUACUCAUGUGACACCUGUGGUAGGUAAAAAUAUAGAUAAUUAAAAGCACAGAUUUUUUAAUAUUUUCAUUGCUAUAGUGAUAUAUAUAUAUAGGUAUAUAGAGGGAUAUAUAGCUAUAGAGAGAGAUAGAGUGAGGUAGAUAUAUGUGUACCCCGAGAUAGAGAGAAAUAUAGAGGUAUACAUAGAGAGAUAAAGAUUUAGAGAAUUAGAUAGAGAUAAAGAAAUAAUUUUAAUAUGUGUACCUUCUUCAAACACAUUACAAAAAGUAAUUCUGUUUUCAUGCGCUUACAGUGUAACAUUUUCAUUGCUCUUUGCUAACCUGUUUCUCCUGGCAUUGCUGCAGAGUCAUUGGCGCAAAUAUAUAACAUGCAUGGGGGAAUAGCGUAAUAUUUUGACGAGGCCGAUAGUUUAGCUUUUUUUUUCCUGUGAUAAAGUAGAAGGCUGCCAAUACGGUUGCGAUCCUGGUGUGUAUUAAAUCGAAUCCACAGCAAGGGGUAAUAUUGAAUGACCAGAGACAUUUAACACACAAUGUAGUUUCCCAAGGGGUUCUUUAUUAAAAACAUUAUUUUUUAAUUUUUUAUAUCCAUCAUAUGUAUCAGAAUAAUUUUUUAUUUGCACAAUAUAAAAAAAAUCGAUUUUUUGAUAAGAAUUUCGUGUAUAUUAAAUUUAAGUGUUUGUUAUAUUCAUCAUUAGGCGCCUUACAACUAACUAGUUUUAAAUAAUGCCUCCUUAUAUACACAAAUGCGUAUUUUCUUCUAAAAAAUAUGUUAAUUUUUGACAUCUCGUAGAUUUUUAGUGAUAUGCCACUGGAAAGCACGUCAAAAGGUGGUCACGUUUACGGUUAAAAGUGCAUUUUUUCCCCCCGAAAGUGGACUUAGUGUGUUAUGCCUUCGAGGUACAGAUGAAUUGUUUUCAGUCAGUCUGCGUUGCUGCUGAGAGGAUGACUUGAGCAAUUUACACGGCUAGAGAAAAAAAUCCUAGGAAGUAAGCGGUCUCGUUCCCCUGCCAUUGCUGUCAACUAAGCGAUUAUCCUGUAAAAUUAUUCCCUUCAGCUCUCCUCCAUGUACUUUCUCACCAGUUGUUUAUCGAGCUGUUACAAGGUCACGCAAGUGACCAUAAGCUAGAACACUUGCAUUACUUUUUACUGCUAAAAGUUACGUUCGAGUAAAAUAUUUUGAGAGAUAAUAUCAGACGAGACAUAAAAUGCAAGAGUAAAGGAAAAAGCCUGCAAAUGAUAUCAAUGGCAAUAAAACUGAAAUAAAUGACAUGGUGUGUGAGACCGAGUCUUAAAAUUGGUAUUAAGUAAGUAACCGUGGCUUACUUUUUUUUUGACGUGACAACUUCUAAUAAAUCGAUGAACGCCGGCUGCACGCACGAAAAAAUGUCCCGUUGCGCACAUUGUCCCGUUUCGCUGUGUCCCGUUACGCUCAUUUUAUAUUGCUCUUUGCUAACCUGAACCUCCUAGCAUUGCGACCGAGUCCGUGGCGUAAUUCUGUUUUCAUGCAUUUCAAUGUAACAUUUUCAUUGCUCUUUGCUAACCCGUUCCUCCUAGCAUUGCUGCAGAGUCCGUGGCGCAAAUAUAUUAUUUUUGACUGCAUCUUGGUGUUGGGUAAGCCAUUUUCCUCCACAUCAUCCUUGAAACACUCCCAUUCGUUUCCUACUUUUCCUAUCACCGUUCUAACACAGAUUGGAAGAAGUUAAAUAGCAAACAUAUAUAAAAGUUAUAGUUAAAAUAAUCUCUUCGUUAAAGUAAUAAACAUAUUUUAAUUAAUGAGUGAAAUUAAAAGUAAAUUUAUCAAUUAAA